CGGGGCGCCGGAGACGCCAGGCCCGAGUAGCAAGCUCCUCCAUGGAGCCUUCCCAGAGCGGUCCGUGCUCGCUGUAUUCGCCCCCAGUCCUGUGCGGCUGCUGAGAGCGCUCCUGGCUCUGUAAAGUGGAUGUCAGGUGGAUCUAUGUUUGUGAAGGAACAAAGACUCAGCGAAGGCACCGCCGAG
RNAcentral lists this long non-coding RNA (186 nucleotides) under Cervus hanglu yarkandensis (Yarkand deer). Its description in RNAcentral is "lncRNA (ENSCHYG00000006088.1)". The record is from RNAcentral. Lineage: Eukaryota; Metazoa; Chordata; Mammalia; Artiodactyla; Cervidae.